GCCUGGGUGGCUCAGUCGGUUGAGCGUCCGACUUUGGCUCAGGUCAUGAUCUCACAGUUUGUGGGUUCAAGCCCCACAUCAGGCU
RNAcentral lists this transfer RNA (85 nucleotides) under Felis catus (domestic cat). It matches the Rfam family "tRNA". From Rfam's summary of the family: Transfer RNA (tRNA) molecules are approximately 80 nucleotides in length. Their secondary structure includes four short double-helical elements and three loops (D, anti-codon, and T loops). Further hydrogen bonds mediate the characteristic L-shaped molecular structure. tRNAs have two regions of fundamental functional importance: the anti-codon, which is responsible for specific mRNA codon recognition, and the 3' end, to which the tRNAs corresponding amino acid is attached (by aminoacyl-tRNA synthetases). tRNAs cope with the degeneracy of the genetic code in two manners: having more than one tRNA (with a specific anti-codon) for a particular amino acid; and 'wobble' base-pairing, i.e. permitting non-standard base-pairing at the 3rd anti-codon position. The record is from Rfam by way of RNAcentral. Lineage: Eukaryota; Metazoa; Chordata; Mammalia; Carnivora; Felidae.